AGUGAACGCUGGCGGUAGGCCUAACACAUGCAAGUCGAACGGCAGCACAGUAAGAGCUUGCUCUUACGGGUGGCGAGUGGCGGACGGGUGAGGAAUACAUCGGAAUCUGCUUUUUCGUGGGGGAUAACGUAGGGAAACUUACGCUAAUACCGCAUACGACCUACGGGUGAAAGCAGGGGAUCUUCGGACCUUGCGCGAUUGAAUGGGCCGAUGUCGGAUUAGCUAGUUGGCGGGGUAAAGGCCCACCAAGGCGACGAUCCGUAGCUGGUCUGAGAGGAUGAUCAGCCACACUGGAACUGAGACACGGUCCAGACUCCUACGGGAGGCAGCAGUGGGGAAUAUUGGACAAUGGGCGCAAGCCUGAUCCAGCCAUACCGCGUGGGUGAAGAAGGCCUUCGGGUUGUAAAGCCCUUUUGUUGGGAAAGAAAAGCAGCAGGUUAAUACCCCGCUGUUCUGACGGUACCCAAAGAAUAAGCACCGGCUAACUUCGUG
RNAcentral lists this ribosomal RNA (492 nucleotides) under uncultured bacterium. RNAcentral's name for it is "partial 16S ribosomal RNA". It matches the Rfam family "Bacterial small subunit ribosomal RNA", at positions 29 to 507 of the family's 1533-position model. The record is from RNAcentral.